AUUGAACGCUGGCAGCAGGCCUAACACAUGCAAGUCGAGCGGGGUUUUCGGACCUAGCGGCGGACGGGUGAGUAAUGCGUAGGAAGCUGCCCGAUAGAGGGGGAUACCAGUUGGAAACGACUGUUAAUACCGCAUAAUGUCUACGGACCAAAGUGUGGGACCUUCGGGCCACAUGCUAUCGGAUGCGCCUACGUGGGAUU
This 200-nucleotide ribosomal RNA is filed under the name uncultured bacterium. RNAcentral describes it as "partial 16S ribosomal RNA". It matches the Rfam family "Bacterial small subunit ribosomal RNA", at positions 30 to 242 of the family's 1533-position model. The record is from RNAcentral.